This 911-nucleotide ribosomal RNA is filed under the name uncultured Bacteroidota bacterium. Its description in RNAcentral is "bacterial SSU rRNA". It matches the Rfam family "Bacterial small subunit ribosomal RNA", at positions 1 to 905 of the family's 1533-position model. The record is from RNAcentral. Lineage: Bacteria; Pseudomonadati; Bacteroidota.
UGGAUCCAGACUUUGAUUAUGGCUCAGGAUGAACGCUAGCUACAGGCUUAACACAUGCAAGUCGAGGGGCAGCAUGAAGUUUGCUUGCAAACUUUGAUGGCGACCGGCGCACGGGUGAGUAACGCGUAUCGAACCUGCCUCAUACCCGGGGAUAGCCUUGCGAAAGUAAGAUUAAUACCCGAUGUUUCCGGCGCGCCGCAUGACGUGUCGGGCAAAGAUUUAUCAGUAUGAGAUGGCGAUGCGUCCCAUUAGCUUGUUGGCGGGGUAACGGCCCACCAAGGCAUCGAUGGGUAGGGGUUCUGAGAGGAAGGUCCCCCACAUUGGAACUGAGACACGGUCCAAACUCCUACGGGAGGCAGCAGUGAGGAAUAUUGGUCAAUGACGAGAGUCUGAACCAGCCAAGUAGCGUGCAGGAAGACGGCCCUCCGGGUUGUAAACUGCUUUUAGUUGGGAAUAAAGUGCAUCACGUGUGAUGUUUUGUAUGUACCAUCAGAAAAAGGACCGGCUAAUUCCGUGCCAGCAGCCGCGGUAAUACGGAAGGUCCGGGCGUUAUCCGGAUUUAUUGGGUUUAAAGGGAGCGCAGGCGGGCGUUUAAGUCAGUUGUGAAAUGCGGCGGCUCAACCGUCGAACUGCAGUUGAUACUGGACGCCUUGAGUGUACACAGGGAUGCCGGAAUUCAUGGUGUAGCGGUGAAAUGCUCAGAUAUCAUGAAGAACUCCGAUCGCGAAGGCAGGCAUCCGGGGUGCAACUGACGCUGAGGCUCGAAAGUGCGGGUAUCAAACAGGAUUAGAUACCCUGGUAGUCCGCACAGUAAACGAUGAAUACUCGCGGUUGGCGAUAUAUUGUCAGCCGCCAAGCGAAAGCGUUAAGUAUUCCACCUGGGGAGUACGCCGGCAACGGUGCAACUCAAU